GAUGAACGCUGGCGGCGUGCCUAAUACAUGCAAGUCGAGCGAACAGACGAGGAGCUUGCUCCUCUGACGUUAGCGGCGGACGGGUGAGUAACACGUGGAUAACCUACCUAUAAGACUGGGAUAACUUCGGGAAACCGGAGCUAAUACCGGAUAAUAUAUUGAACCGCAUGGUUCAAUAGUGAAAGACGGUUUUGCUGUCACUUAUAGAUGGAUCCGCGCCGCAUUAGCUAGUUGGUAAGGUAACGGCUUACCAAGGCAACGAUGCGUAGCCGACCUGAGAGGGUGAUCGGCCACACUGGAACUGAGACACGGUCCAGACUCCUACGGGAGGCAGCAGUAGGGAAUCUUCCGCAAUGGGCGAAAGCUUGACCGAGCAACGCCGCGUGAGUGAUGAAGGUCUUCGGAUCGUAAAACUCUGUUAUUAGGGAAGAACAAAUGUGUAAGUAACUAUGCACGUCUUGACGGUACCUAAUCAGAAAGCCACGGCUAACUACGUG
Molecule: ribosomal RNA, 497 nt
Filed under: uncultured bacterium
Lineage: Bacteria
Description: partial 16S ribosomal RNA
Rfam family: Bacterial small subunit ribosomal RNA
Source: RNAcentral